This 255-nucleotide ribosomal RNA is filed under the name uncultured bacterium. RNAcentral's name for it is "partial 16S ribosomal RNA". It matches the Rfam family "Bacterial small subunit ribosomal RNA", at positions 793 to 1055 of the family's 1533-position model. The record is from RNAcentral.
GUCCACGCCGUAAACGAUGGAUACUAGCUGUUCGGAGCAAUCUGAGUGGCUAAGCGAAAGUGAUAAGUAUCCCACCUGGGGAGUACGUUCGCAAGAAUGAAACUCAAAGGAAUUGACGGGGCCGCACAAGCGGUGGAGCAUGUGGUUUAAUUCGAUGAUACGCGAGGAACCUUACCAAGGCUUAAAUAGGGGAGUUGACCGAUUUGGAAACAGAUCUUUCGCAAGACAAUCUUCAAGGUGCUGCAUGGUUGUCGU